RNAcentral lists this ribosomal RNA (419 nucleotides) under uncultured actinomycete. Its description in RNAcentral is "bacterial SSU rRNA". It matches the Rfam family "Bacterial small subunit ribosomal RNA", at positions 485 to 902 of the family's 1533-position model. Lineage: Bacteria; Bacillati; Actinomycetota; Actinomycetes; Actinomycetales. The record is from RNAcentral.
AAGAAGCGCCGGCUAACUACGUGCCAGCAGCCGCGGUAAUACGUAGGGCGCAAGCGCUGUCCGGAAUUAUUGGGCGUAAAGAGCUCGUAGGCGGCUUGUCACGUCUGCUGUGAAAUCCCGGGGCUUAACCCCGGGCGUGCAGUGGAUACGGGCUGGCUAGAGGCAGGCAGGGGAGAACGGAAUUCCUGGUGUAGCGGUGAAAUGCGCAGAUAUCAGGAGGAACACCGGUGGCGAAGGCGGUCCUCUGGGCCUGUUCUGACGCUGAGGAGCGAAAGCGUGGGGAGCAAACAGGAUUAGAUACCCUGGUAGUCCACGCCGUAAACGUUGGGCGCUAGGUGUGGGUCCCUUCCACGGGGUCUGUACCGCAGCUAACGCAUUAAGCGCCCCGCCUGGGGAGUACGGCCGCAAGGCUAAAACUC